UGGCAAUGAUGAUAAAAAGGCCGGUCUUACAGCUGCUGCUGUGUGCUUGGUAGUAGUGUGAUGAUUUGUUCAAGGAGGUACCUGCUGAGCCAG
RNAcentral lists this small nucleolar RNA (93 nucleotides) under Ipomoea nil (Japanese morning glory). RNAcentral describes it as "Small nucleolar RNA snoR113". It matches the Rfam family "Small nucleolar RNA snoR113". The record is from Rfam by way of RNAcentral. Lineage: Eukaryota; Viridiplantae; Streptophyta; Magnoliopsida; Solanales; Convolvulaceae.